ACCCUUUUUCGUGGCGACGGGUGAGUACGCGUGGGACGUACCUUUUGGUUCGGACAACUGAGGGGAACUUCCCUAAUACCGGAUAAGCCCUUACGGGGAAAGAUUUAUCGCCGAAAGAUCGGCCCGCGUCUGAUUAGCUAGUUGGUGGGGUAAUGGCCCACCAAGGCGACGAUCAGUAGCUGGUCUGAGAGGAUGAUCAGCCACAUUGGGACUGAGACACGGCCCAAACUCCUACGGGAGGCAGCAGUGGGGAAUAUUGGACAAUGGGCGAAAGCCUGAUCCAGCCAUGCCGCGUGAGUGAUGAAGGCCCUAGGGUUGUAAAGCUCUUUUGGGCGGGAAGAUAAUGACGGUACCCCUUGAAUAAGCCCCGGCUAACUUCGUGCCAGCAGCCGCGGUAAUACGAAGGGGGCUAGCGUUGCUCGGAAUCACUGGGCGUAAAGGGUGCGUAUGCGGGUUUCUAAGUCAGAGGUGAAAGCCUGGAGCUCAACUCCAGAACUGCCUUUGAUACUGGAAGUCUUGAGUUCAGGAGAGGUGAGUGGAACUGCUAGUGUAGAGGUGAAAUUCGUAGAUAUUCGCAAGAACACCAGUGGCGAAGGCGGCUCACUGGCCCGAUACUGACGCUGAGGCACAAAAGCGUGGGGAGCAAACAGGAUUAGAUACCCCUGGUAGUCCUCUCGUAAACGAUGAAUGCCAGCCCGUUCGUGGGUUUUACUCACUCGUGGCGCACCUAACCCUUUUAAGCAUUCCCGCCUGGGGAGUACUGGUCUCAAGAUUAAAACUCAAAGGAAUCUGUACGGGGGCUCCCCCAAGCCGUGGAAGCCU
This 822-nucleotide ribosomal RNA is filed under the name Rhodopseudomonas faecalis. RNAcentral's name for it is "bacterial SSU rRNA". It matches the Rfam family "Bacterial small subunit ribosomal RNA", at positions 85 to 941 of the family's 1533-position model. Lineage: Bacteria; Pseudomonadati; Pseudomonadota; Alphaproteobacteria; Hyphomicrobiales; Nitrobacteraceae. The record is from RNAcentral.